CCUACGGGCGGCAGCAGUGAGGAAUAUUGGUCAAUGGCCGGAAGGCUGAACCAGCCAUGCCGCGUGAAGGUCAGUGCCCUAUGGGCGUUAAACUUCUUUUGUGCGGGAGCAAUAAUGGUCACGUGUGGCCAGACGAGAGUACCGUACGAAUAAGCAUCGGCUAACUCCGUGCCAGCAGCCGCGGUAAUCCGGGGGAUGCAAGCGUUAUCAGGAUUUAUUGGGUUUAAAGGGUGCGUAGGCUGGGAGGUAAGUCAGCGGUGAAAUGCCCCCGCUCAACGGGGUGAAGUGCCAUUGAUACUGCCUUGCUUGAGUGCGGAUGCCGUGUGAGGAAUGUGUGGUGUAGCGGUGAAAUGCAUAGAUAUCACACAGAACACCGAGUGCGAAGGCAUCUCACGAAUCCGCGAUUGACGCUGAUGCACGAAAGCGUGGGUAUCAAACAGGAUUAGAUACCCGAGUAGUC
RNAcentral lists this ribosomal RNA (460 nucleotides) under uncultured bacterium. Its description in RNAcentral is "partial 16S ribosomal RNA". It matches the Rfam family "Bacterial small subunit ribosomal RNA", at positions 338 to 795 of the family's 1533-position model. The record is from RNAcentral.